Long non-coding RNA from Daucus carota subsp. sativus, 647 nucleotides. RefSeq lists it as uncharacterized. The transcript has 2 exons. Lineage: Eukaryota; Viridiplantae; Streptophyta; Magnoliopsida; Apiales; Apiaceae. The record is from RefSeq and is a predicted model, not a curated record.
UUUGGCACAGCAAGGAUCUGUGGAGAGACGGAAACAGGAGCCAAUACAACCAGAGUAGUGGGAACAUAGUAAGAAUAUCUUGCAUUCUAAGAAAUAAUGUUUCUAUUAGCAAAAAUGUGAUACAUGAGAUAUUCUUGCAGUGGUUAUAUGUCUCCUGAGUAUGCAACGGAUGGCAUAUUUUCGGUGAAAUUUGAUGUUUAUAGCUUUGGGGUACUCCUUUUAGAGGCGGUGAAUGGAAAAAGAAACAAAAAUUUUACUCAUCUAGAUCACAAUCUUAACCUUCUCGGACAUGCAUGGAGAACCUAUAUAGAUGGAAAUGCGUUGGACCUAGUAGAUGAGGUUUUUGAAAAUUUAAGCCCUGAACAUCAAUACGAAGUGUUUCGAGCUAUUCAAAUAGGGUUAUUAUGUGUGCAACAAUGUCCGGCGGAUAGGCCAACCAUGGCAACGGUGGUGCUAAUGCUAACCAGUGAGCUUCCCCUGCCUCAACCUAAGCAACCUGGAUUUUUCAUCGAGAGGAAUGUGCACGAAGGAGAUUCUUCGUCGUGUUCAUCCAACUACUGCAGUGUGACAGCUAUAGCUCCUAGAUAAACAUAUUAUUUCUCGUUUUUAUUCUAUUAAAAAAUAUAAAUUAUGAUUGCCGCUUUUAA